GGGUUGUGAGGUUAAGCGACUAAGCGUACACGGUGGAUGCCCUGGCAGUCAGAGGCGAUGAAGGGCGUGCUAAUCUGCGAUAAGCGCCGGUAAGGUGAUAUGAACCGUUAUAACCGGCGAUACCCGAAUGGGGAAACCCAGUGUGACUCGUCACACUAUCAUUAACUGAAUCCAUAGGUUAAUGAGGCGAACCGGGGGAACUGAAACAUCUAAGUACCCCGAGGAAAAGAAAUCAACCGAGAUUCCCUCAGUAGCGGCGAGCGAACGGGGAGGAGCCCAGAGCCUGAAUCAGCAUGUGUGUUAGUGGAAGCGUCUGGAAAGGCGCGCGAUACAGGGUGACAGCCCCGUACACAAAAGCGCAUAUGCUGUGAGCUCGAUGAGUAGGGCGGGACACGUGGUAUCCUGUCUGAAUAUGGGGGGACCAUCCUCCAAGGCUAAAUACUCCUGACUGACCGAUAGUGAACCAGUACCGUGAGGGAAAGGCGAAAAGAACCCCGGCGAGGGGAGUGAAAAAGAACCUGAAACCGUGUACGUACAAGCAGUGGGAGCACCCUUUGGGG
Molecule: ribosomal RNA, 560 nt
Filed under: Salmonella enterica subsp. enterica serovar Oranienburg
Lineage: Bacteria; Pseudomonadati; Pseudomonadota; Gammaproteobacteria; Enterobacterales; Enterobacteriaceae
Also listed under: 1 other name
Description: partial 23S ribosomal RNA
Rfam family: Bacterial large subunit ribosomal RNA
Source: RNAcentral